GUUUAGGAAAUACAAAUGCAGUUGAGUAGUAUUUAACAUAUUAGUUAAGGAAAACGAAACUGUGCGGAAAACCUAAUGACACACCGUCGUGAAAUAAAUCAUAUUAGGAGGACUUACUUCGAAAGGAAAACACGAAAACAAACAGCGAAAUGGAGGCAAUUAAGUUGACAUGCUUUUCAAUUGUAGGAUUAUUACUGUCGGAAAUAUGCCAAGGUCUCUCCAUUGAUUUAAUGGAACCAGAAGUAUCCGACUGUGUAAAUCCGUCAGUAAAAAUGGUCUGCAAAUUCACCCCUGACGAACUGCAGGCUGGUAGUAACGAGCUUACAAUAAUGCAUGGUGGGUUGACGUUGGCAACCUGUAAAUCGGACAGUCUGACGUGUACGACGGCAAGUGUGUUAUACAACGUUACAAUGGAGGCUGCACGUGCAGUGCUGACAAUAACGAACAUGGAUGCGUUUUAUUAUGGUCCUAUAUGGGGUUGCCGUGCUGGUCCCAAAGAGGCUUCACUUCAGCUAAAAUACUUUCGAGCAGCAACUGAGAGUGCUUCAGAACAGUUCCUGUCUCUUGGAGAAAUAUCUAUAGUCGACCUGUUGACACUUUUUAUAGUUAUCGCUAUAUUACUGAUACUGGUAGUAAAAAUGUUUUGCAUAAGUCGCUGUCAGAGAGGAAAGGGAAAAGAUAAGCUGAUGCCAGACAAUCCACUGAUAUCUUCAAAUGGAGUUACAGAAUAAUAACGAAAUUUUAUUUGCUUUAACAGUCUCUAACAAUAUUUGGAUAUUUGUUAUUUCAUUGGUUGUUCUGUCCAUAACGAAUAUCUGUAAGCUUAAACAGUUAUUUGAUACUGAUAAUCGACUUUGUAAAGCUUGUUUUAACCGUUCCAUCAAUUAGCUGGGCAUUCGUAUUGCAAAUUUAACAAGCAUGAUAAUUUUGGUUGUGACUGAACAUAUUUGUUCGUGAUUCUGCACUUACAUUAUCACUUUUAUUAUUUAUAUACUCUAUGCAUUGGUACCAAGUCUGUUCGUUCCCGGUCCAUACGCAAAGGCUUCGUUCGCCCGAGUUCCGUUCUAAUUUGUUUUCUAUCAAUACACAUUAUUGUUAAAUGGUUUUUGUUUUUAUUGAUUCAAGUAUCUAUUUACUUCUUGUAAAUAAAUCAUAUUUUUUUAGGAAUAAAUGAAUAUAUAUCUGAAACAAGUUGAUUAAUCUCGAGCUGAUUGGUAUUUCAUUAGAAUGAUUUUAAUUACUGUUGAUUGUAAUUUAGAAAGCUUAUUAAGUAUUCUUUUUAUAUAAGCCUUCAUAUUUAACCUAUGUGAUUUAAUAUGAAAAACAAUCAAUAAAAAUUUGGUUCUCCAA
Mytilus californianus (California mussel) is the source of this 1350-nucleotide long non-coding RNA. RefSeq lists it as uncharacterized. The record is from RefSeq and is a predicted model, not a curated record. The transcript has 4 exons. Lineage: Eukaryota; Metazoa; Mollusca; Bivalvia; Mytilida; Mytilidae.